GCAGAUCAAGAGCAUCUCAUCCUCCGGCUGCUGAGUCAUCCUGCUCUGGCAGUUAUUUAAACAGAAGGCUCCAGGAGACAUACAAUCAACACUCCACUCAGACAAUGCCCAGACCUCCAGAAACCAUGUGUCAAGCUCGGAUUGCCUUAGACAGGUGCAAUUUAAGAACAGCUUUCAUCCUCUUUUCUCUCAUAUUGUCACACUAUGUGUUCUGACUUCUGGCUCCUUUCCUCACAAGAAGCUCACCCAGCUGGAACUCUUAUGGGACCUUGGCACCAGAGACCACAAAUUCCUCUUUGAAGUUUUCUAACAGCAACAAUGGUAUUUCUGACUUGGCUUUCUUGUAUUUCUCUCACGUUAACAAAAUUGGUUCAGCAUCUACCAUGGGCUACAUGCUGAGCUACAGAGUUUCGCUCUGUCGCCCAGGCUGGAGUGCAGUGGCGCGCGAUCUCGGUUCACUGCAAGCUCCACCUCCCGGGUUCACGCCAUUCUCCUGCCUCAGCCUCCUGAGUAGCUGGGACUACAGGCGCCCGCCACCACACCCAGGAAUCCAACUUGCUGUUUGCUAUCACAUGUGCUAUACAUGCUGUUGAUGAAACUGCUAAAGGGGCUGAAUGUGACUGACGUCUUUGGAAGGAUGAGACUUAGCGUGCCUGUACAGUUGUGUCCAAAUGCUGUCCUCAUCUCCCAAUGAAAAGGGUUUUUCCUUAAGCCUCACAACAAUUUACAGCAUUGCCAGCAGCAUUCAGUACAUUCAGAACAGGAUAAUUUCACCCGCAGCUGAACUAGGGCCAUGCCUGGGACAGACAGAGAAUGGCCUUCCAGCAGACAUGCCAAGAAGCAAGCCAGGGUCAGUGAGUGAAGAGGAGGGCAGGCCCAUUUGAAGCAACACAGUUUAUAUACAUGAAAAGAAAGAAGGAGAGAAGGAAGAAAGGAGGGCGGAAGGAAAGGAAGAAGGGAGAGAAGAAGAGAAGAAAGAAGCAGAGAAAGGAAGAGAAAAGAAAUUACGGCCAGUGCGGUGGCUCACGCCUGUAAUCCUAGCACUUUGGGAGGCCUAAGCGGGCUGAUCACCUGAGGUCAGGAGUUCGUAAGCCAGCCUGGCCAACAUGGUGAAACCCUAUCUCUACUAAAAAUACAAAAAUCAGCAGGGCAUGGUGGUGCGUGCCUGUAAUCCCAGCUACCUGGGAGGCUGAGGUAGGAGAAUCGCUGGAACCCGAGAGGCGGAGGCUGCAGUGAGUUGAGAUCAUGUCACUGCACUCCAGGCUGGGCAACAGAGUGAGACUCUGUCUCAGAAAAAAAAAAAAAGAAAGAAAGAAAGAAAGAAAGUUACCAUUAGUUUUUUGUUGUAUUUGCAAGCAAAGACAAAAGCACCAAGGUACUUGUUUCCUUCUGUAAUUAGAGUUUCAAAUAGACUAAAAGUUUCUGCUCUUAGGUGGGUCUAGAGACUCUCCAGUACCUCAGGACCUCAGGACACAUGGGGUCUCUUGGUUGUUUUCUUUUCAUUGUUGUUGUUUAUUUUAUUUUUGUUUUUAUUUUUUAACUUUAAAACAAUUUUUUGUAGAUGAAUAUGCUUACAUAUGUUUGGGGGUUUUUUUGAGACAGGGUCUUGCUCUGUUGCCCAGGCUGGAGAGCGGUGGUUUAACCACAGCUCACUGCAGCCUCGACCUCCCAAGGUAGGGACUGCAGGUGUGUACACUGGGGUGCACCACCACACCCAGCUAAUUUUUAAAUUUUUUUUUGUAGAUAUUGUCUCACUCUGUUGGCCAGACUGGUCUUGAAAUCCUGGGCUCGAGCAAUUCUCCUGCCUCGGCCUCGUAACGCGUUAGGAUUACAAGCGUGAACACCGCACCUGGCCAGCAUGUGGUCUCUUAACCAGAGGAGGCCUCUUCUGAACUAGGUAGAGGUCCUGAGAAUUGAUUCUGAGAGUAAAAGGCUCUUUGUUCUCCUCAGAGUAGAUUAGAAUCCCUAAUGAUAGAGCAUCUAUUAUUCCUCUAGUGGUCCAUGCCCAACAGAUUCAUCCAAGAAUAGAUGAAGAUCUUUGUAAUGUUGUGCAAGUAAUCUAAUCACCCCACAGAAGAGCUGUGACUUAAAUUAUCCCAGAGUCGGCCCACCUGUUUUCAUAAAGAUCAAUGUAACUUGUAAAUUUCUUCAGUUCUCCUCACCUAUCAUCAUUUGACUAACAAAACCCAGAAAACUAGGCUAGUUAUGGUGGCCUAUGCAUAUAAUCCCAACUCUUUGAGAGGCCAGGGUGGGUGGAUUGCUUGAGUCCAGGAAUUCGAGACCAGCCUGGGCAACAAAGGGAGACCCUGCCUAUAUCCCAGCUAUGCAGGAGGCGAGGCCAGAGGAUUGCCUGAGCCUCAGAGGUUGAGGCUGUAGUGAGCCAUGAUUGCCCCACUACACUCCAGCCUGGAUGACAGAGUGAGACCCUGCCUUAAAAAUAAUAAUAAUAGUAAUAAUAUUUCAUAAAGAUACAGGAAACUAGAUUAUAAUUGACAUUUUCAAAGUGAAAUACUGUCUAGAAUGGUGCUUGGCCAACAGUAAGCUUUUUGUAAGUGGAAGUCAUUACUACUACUAUUUCUUUCAUUAUUAUUACCAUUACUACUUUUUUUUACAAAAAAAAAACCCUGGACAACACACUGAAACCAUUACUACUUCUACUACUAUAACUUAGGUUGCACCUGAUAGAGCCAGCAAUUUUUCCAAGGUAUGACAAUGGCCAUAUGUUUAAUGAUAUAAUUCUAUGGCUCAGUGUAUCUCAGCCUUUUUAAACCCUGCUCUUCUUUUGACAAUUGUAAAAAUCUUAAACUGACCUCCAGUUGAAAUCCUCUGUCAAGAAGAUAUUGUCGGCCAGGGGCGGUGGCUCACACCUGUAAUCCCAGCACUUUUGGAGGCCGAGGUGGGAGGAUCACUUGAGGUUAGGAGUUCAAGACCAGCCUGGCCAACAUAGUGAAACCCCAUCUCUACUAAAAAUACAAAAAUUAGGCAGGCAUGGUGGUGUGUGCCUGUAAUCCCAGCUACUCAGGAGGCUGAGGUAGGAGAAUUGCUUGAACCUGGCAGGGCAGAGGUUGCAGCAAGCCGAGAUCACGCCACUGCUCUCCAGCCUGGGUGAGACUGUCUCAAAAAAAAAAAAAAAAAAGAAAGAAAGUAAGAAAAAGAAGAAAUCCCAAUCUCUUCUUUUAUGUGGAUUCUUCCUCACUUGAAUAAUACUUUUCUUCCCCAGUAUUCUCCAUAUUAUCCCAGAGUCAGCCCCUCUGUUUUUGUAAAGAUCUACGUAACCUCCUCUAAGUUUCCCAGUUCUCCUCACCUAUCAUAUCAUUUGGCUCAACAAAGGGCAGGAAGCUAGAUUCUAAUUGAUAUUUUGAGGCCGGGAGCAGUGGCUCAUGCCUGUAAUCACAGCACUUUGGGAGGCUGAGGCGGGCAGAUCACUGGAGGUCAGGAGUUCGAGACCAGCCUGGCCAAUAUGGUGAAACCUCGUCUCUACUAAAAAUACAAAAAAUUAGCCAGGCUUGGUGGCUUGUACCUGUAAUCCCAGCUACUCAGGAGGCUGAGGCAGGAGAAUAGCUUAAACCUGGGAGGAAGAGGUUGCAGUGAGCCGAGAUUGCUCAAUUGCACCCCAGCCUGGGUGACAGAGCAAAACUCCAUCUCAAAAACAAACAAACGAACAAACCUGAUAUUUUCAAAAUUGAGGCAAUUAUAACAGCUAUUUAGCCAAGCAUUAUGAUAGCAAUAAUAGCAAGAAAAUAAAUUAGUUAACAAAUGAGUCUCAGAAGCCCAAUGAUUUUUAUUUUAUUUUUAUUUUUUGAACUUUUAUUUUAGAAUCAGGGGAUACAUGUGCAGGUUUGUUACCCGGGUAUAUUGCAUGAUGCUGAGUUUUGGAGUAUGCAUGAAUCCAACCUGUCAUCCAGGUAGUGAGUAUAGUACCCAACAGAUAGUUUUUUUAACAUUUACUUCACUCCCUUCCCCAAUCUUGUAUUCCCCUGUGUCUACUGUUCCCAUUUUUAUGACUGUGCCAACAAUAAUUUUUUUUCUUUUUUCUUUAAAUAGAGAUGGGGGUCUCUAUUUAAAGAGCCUCCCAAAGUGCUAGGAUUACAGGUGUGAUCCAUUGCACCUGGCCCAUGCCAACAAUAUUUGAAACCCUUAUCUGCGUGUACAAGUUUGCUACUGGUUUUGUUUUGCUCAUUAAUACAUCCCAAGCAUCUAUACCUGGCUUGUAGUACCAGCAUGUAGUAGGUGCUUAAUAAAUAUUUAUUGAAUAAAUAAAUUAGUUUGACAUUAGUUUAACAUCUCAAGUAAAACAAAAUACCAUUCAAUUAAUUCUCUUCUUCUACUUUUUUCUUUUAAGAGAGACAAAUAGUCACACAUACAUCAGCAGGAGAGGAUACAAUUUCCUGUGUUUAAGUUUUUAUGAGUUACUUUAGUUCAAAUGUCACAGAAAAUUAUAUUGAACUCUUGACCAAUCUAUCUAUUUUUUCCAUUGGAGUAUUGACCCAAAUAAGAAAUAGCAUAAAGGAAAAAUUAUUUUUUGGCAGAAAAAUAUUCUCUCUAAAUUCUUGUGUGUUUUGUUUUGAUUUUUUCCUUAGUGACUGGAGGCCAGUUUCAAUCCACUGAAGCACAGAUUCCAAAUUUUCAAUCUGGUUUUCUUGAGUAGUGACUGAGUGCCAAAAAUGAAGCAAUGACACAACAUCACCAUCAAGACACUCCCCAGCACGCACACACAUGCCAGAGUCCAACACCAAGAUACUCCCCAGCACGCACACACACGCCAGAGUCCAGGCCAUAUUCGGGUGGCUUGCAAGCUUCUUCCCCCCAAGUAUUUACUCUCAAAAUAAUGGUUUUUGUUUUGUUUUGGUUUGGUUUGGUUUGUUUUUUUCCAAAUACAUUUCUUCCCUAUAUCUUUAACCAAUUCUCAUAAAAUUUUGUCUAAUACACUGGUCAGUGUAUUCCAGACCCUAAAAGAUAACAUAAUGAAACUAUCUAUGACUAAAAGGUAAUCAGGAUCUUCUACUUAUCCUUUUUUCCUCCCUCUUAAACUUUAAUUUUGAUACAUUUGGGAGUGAAAUGAUGACAAUAAAUGCAAAGUAAUUAUUGAAGAAACAGUAAUUUUGUAUUAGCUUACUGAAAAAAAAAAAAAAGAUAACCAAAUAUAUUUUGGCAGCCCCAAACGAGUCACAUGUGAAAUGCAGUGGGAGAGCAGUGUCCUGAAGGAAAAGGUGGCCUGCUGGACAGCCAAGAGAACAAACAUCCACUGCAAGUAAUAUGAGCUCUAAGUUUGGACUAGGCCUAUGUCUGCUCUGAGACUUGGGGCAAUUCACUUAAUCAGAGCCUUAAUCAGCUACGGACUAGCAAUAUCCAUACCCGCUACUUAUUUUGUAAAUCUCCUUUCUAAAGUUAACUCUAUUUAUUGUUCCAUAAUCCCAUAAAUUCUAGAAUCUUUUCCUGUUAUAGCCAAGUUGUCUAUCAUUGACAGAGAUAUUCACCUGGUUGUUUUGGCUUCUCUAAUCCUCCUGGUGAGAACACCUCCAAGGGAGCUUUCAGUGGCAUUUAAGGUCACUUGUGCUCUUGGUCCUAGAAACUGCCUUGAUAGUGGUUUUAGCUCACAUGAGGUAAGUCUUUAUUAUAUGCCCAACCUCUUUAUGCAUUACUUCAUUUAAUUGUAUACUAAUCCUUUGUCAUAGGUUAUCAGAGUGUUUGAUUAUAAGUUACAGGAAGAAAAAAAAAAACAAACUCCAAUUGACUAAAACAAUGGGGCAUUUUUUGACUCACAUAACAGAGAGUCUAGAGAGAAGGCACCUUCAGGUUUGGCUGAUGAAUCCUGUAUCUCUGCCUUGUCUCCAGGCCCCCAGGUUCUGCCUCUGUCCUGACAUCCAGUGUUGGAUUCCUCUUCACAUCAACUCCUCUCUAGCUGUGGCAAUUCCUUGAACCACACUGAUUGCUAUAAAGUGGAAGAGGAAUAGAUUGAAUUUUGGGGAGUCAACUACAAUGUGUACUACAGGUAAAUACUAUGAAUUUCCAAUUCACAGAUGAGAAAACUGAGGCAUGUGGUGGGAGGGAGGUUAUGUAAUUUGCCCAGUGUCACAGUUGAACCUAGGCAAAGGCCUAUCUCCAGGUCUAAACAAUUCAGUGGCCUCCUGUGUACAUUUCUGUCUCUCCUUUUUUAUCCACUGUGUCACCGAGGCUGGAUUGCAGUGGCUCGAUCAUGGAGAUCAUGGCUUUCUGUAGCCUUGAACUCCUGGGCUCAAGUGAUCCUCCUGCCUCAGCUUCCUGAGUGGCUGGGACUACAGGCUUGACAACACACCCGGCUAUCCCGUGUAUAUUUCUUGAGGGCUUAUGAUAUAUAAGAGAAACUCCAAAAUAAGAGGACGGUGUGCUAAGGGGAAGACCAAAGCACUAUCAAGAGGUAGAUUCAAUCGUACCCCUUCUAUUUACUAGUUGUGUGACUCUUUUGAAAAUGAGAAUAAUAGGCCAGGCUCGGUGGCUCCUGCCUGUAAUCCCAGCACUUUGGGAGGCUGAGGCAGGUAGAUCACCUGAGGUUAGAAGUUCAAGACCAGCCUAGCCAACAUGGCAAAACCCCAUCUCUAUUAAAAAUACAAAAAUUAGCCGGGAAUGGCAGCAUGUGCCUGUAGUUCCGGCUACUCAGGAGGCUGAGGCAGGAGAAUCACUUGAACCCAGGAGGCAGAGGUUGCAGUGAGCCGAGAUUGCGCUACUGCACUUCAGCCUGGGUGACAGCGAGACUCCAUCUCAAAAAAAAAAAAAAAGGAAGAAAAGAAAAGAAAAUGGGAAUAAUAAAACUUACUUACUGGAGCAGUAGCAAAGAUUAAAAUUUAGACCAUGCAGAAGAAUGUUUUUCAAAAUGACAUGACCUGGUAAUAGGAUAGAAAUGCAAAUUCCUGUUACUGCACCAGACCCACCAAAUAAGAAACUCUGGGGAUGGGACCCAGGACUAAGUACUUUAAUAAGCACUCCAGGUGAUUCUAAUGAUUGUUAAAGUUUGAGAACCACUGGUCUAACACAUUGCCUGGUACAUAAGCUCUUAUUUUGUUGUUAUUGUUCUAAGGACAAUGUGUGUAUUGACUUCUAUUUCCAGGAGUUCAUGACUUGGAGAACUAGGGAAAGGAAGACAAAAAUUCUUUAAUGCAGAACGAUACUGAUUGAUAAAUACCUGAAUAUAAUACAGGUUAAAUGUGCUUUGAAGAUUUAUAAAAGGUUGAAUUUAUUUCCAGCAAGAUGACUCUCAGAAGCCUUUAUAGAUUAGAGAAGAAAUGGAAAGGGGUAAAAAUAAUUAGGAACUAUAAAGCAGGGCAGACAAGUUUUCAAUGGUUACUGCCAAUGUGUAUACAGAAAGUUAGCUUGGCCAGGCAAAGUGGCUCAUGCUUGUAAUAUCAGCACUUUGGGAGGCCAAGGCGGGCAGGUCACCUGAGAUCAGGAGUUUGAGACCAGCCUGACCAACAUGGUGAAACUCUAUCUCUACUAAAAAUACACAAUUAGCCCAGCAUGGUAGAGCAUGCCUGUAAUCCCAGCUACUCAGGAGGCUGAGGCAGGAGAAUCGCUUGUACUUGGGAGGCAAAGGCUGCAGUGAGCUGAGAUCGUGCCAUUGCACUCCAUCCUGGGAAACAAGGGUGAAACUCCGUCUCCAGAAAAAAAAAAGUUACCUUGAAAUAUAUCAAUACAAACAAAUAAAUUAGAUAUUUCAUAUUGUACAGGAACAAAACCCAUCAGAAGAUGUCAGAAGAUAAGGAUUUUUGUCCUGAUGCUACACUUACCAGCUGUCCCUCAGUGUUCUACUUCUUAAAAAAAGAGAGGUUGGUCCUGAUCCCUGGUUCUUAACCAGGGGAAAAUGAAGUGGGGCCAGGGCAUGUGCAGACUUAAAAAUUACACAGGGGAAUGUAGGCACGAUCUGUUUAAGAAAUACUGGACUAAAUGGUCUCUAAUCUGUGAUUGUAGAUUAAAGAAUAAUCUACAAUCUACACCGUGUUGGCCAGGCACGGUGGCUCACACCUGUAAUUCCAGCACUUUGGGAGGCUGAGGUGUGUGGAUCACAUGAGGUCAGGAGUUCGAGACCAGCCUCACCAAUGUGGCAAAACCCCCUCUCUACUAAAAAUACGGAAAAUUAGCUGGGUGUGGUGGUGCAUGUCUGUAGUCCCAGCUACUCGGGAGGCUAAGGCAUGAGAAUUGCUUGAACCUGGGAGGUGGAGGUUGCAGUGAGCCAAAAUCACGCCACUGCACUCCAGCCUGGGUGACAGAGUGAGACUCUGUCUCAAAAAAAAAGAAAAAAUAAAUAAUCAAAUGUAAAGUUAGCACAUAAAGGAGGCAUGUACAUAUUAUUAAAAUCUAUAUGACUACCUCUCCUUUUUCAUUUUUGGCUCAAUAUCUGUAUCUGAACACCUAAUUAAUGAAAGGAAAACAUUUGUAAUAUGUAGCAACUAAAAUGUCACCUUCUCUGUGGGGAUCACAAAGUCCUUGGCAAUCACUUCCAUACCAGACAAGUGAGUAUUGUCCUUCUCCUUUUCCAGAUGGAUAAACAGAGGCAACCCGAGGAUAAAGGCCUUGCUCAGUGUCACACAUUUCAGUCACUAAAUAAGACACAAUGGAUGCCAGUAUUCUCAUCCCCUCACAAAUAAAGAGCCUUCAAGCUCUUGCAGUCAACAAGAACUUUUGGAAUGAUUUCACUGCCUGAAAAGGCAGAUACAUAGGUGACACCCACAAAUAGGAAGAAAAUCAACCUGAACCUGAGUGUGUGGGCUCACUGACUCUAAGCAGUAGAGACAGAAGAAAAAGUUUUAGCAAAGAAGGGUUCUGAAAGAAAAUAAAUAUAGCUCGUUAUCAAGUGCUGUUUUUACACAGUAAAACAUGGGCAAAAUUACUCUUCUUUAAGUAGUAAUUCUUAUCUCUUGAUUAAGUCACCUACUCAUUCAUUUAAUAAAUACAUACUGAUUGUUUUCUAUGUGUUGAGCACUCAUCUCUGUAUUGGAAAUAUAAUAAUGACCAAAGUUGACAAUAGUAAUAACAAUAAUAGCUAAUAUAGCAGGCACUAAUAAUUAUUUGUUGAGUAAUAUGUCAAAAUUCAGUGUGAACAGCAUUCUAUUUGGGGCUGCAUCCACUGACUAUAACACAGCUAAUCUAUCUGAAAUGUUCCAGCUUUGGGCCUCUCUAACAGAAGAAGCUGUUGUUGGGCCUGCCUCUAGUUGGCGAUGCAUCCACCAAUGAGAAUGAAUUUAUGAUCGACCACUCUUCCUGUAAAGGCCGCUGGAACUGACAGCAUUGUGAUUUUCUUUUACUGUUAGUUUUAAAUUACUAGAACCAACUCAAUUACUAGAACGAACUUUACUUCUUUGUUUCCUACUUAUCAAAACAGUAAAAACAACAAGUAAAAGAAAUGCCAUCUUAAUAUUGUUUUGAUGACAAAACAGUAUUCCUUUUAGUUGUGCUUCAAAUGGAAUAAGAUGCAAACAGGCUUGGUAUGGUGGCUCACCCCUGUAAUCCCAGCCCUUUGGGAGGCCAAGGUGGAAGGAUUGCUUGAGGCCAUGAGUUUGAGACCAGCCUGCGCAACAUAGCAAGACCGUGUCUCUACAAAAAAUAAAAAAUUAGCUGAGUGUAGUGGUGUGUGCUUGUGGUCCCAGCUACUUUUGAGGCUGAGGAGGGAGAAUCUCUUGAGCCCAGAAGGUCGAAGUUGCAGUGAGCCGUGAUCGUGCCAUUGCUCUCCAGCUUGGACAACAAAGCAAGACCCUAUGUCAAAAAAUAAAUAAAUAAAAGACAUAAACAUAUCUGAGAUUAACUUUCAGUGGUAAAUUUGUUCCAUAUAUGAUUUUUAAGGUUAAAUGCUUUGGAAGCUUUAAAAACCAUUUCAGCCCUUUUAAAUGCCAACUUACACUGAUGAUGCUCUCAGAUGUUAGGAAAUCUUUUGAGCAGAAAAUGGAAGUGGGGGUGUUGAGGCAGGGAGGAGAGUGAUGCAAUAUUCCUUAGUGUCAUCCUGUGAUUUCACAAUUUGUUUUUCAAUCUGUUUGGACUUUCAAAAGGGAAGACUCUCAUAUGUCAACAAGCCCAUGAACUGAAGCUUAAAACACUGGAAACAACAACUGUAGAGUUUCAAGUAUAUGUACAUUUAUGUAUUCAUGUUCCUUGAUGGGAAUGCUGGCUGGUGUGAAUGUUCAAUCUCCUGAGAAAUGUAAAUUUUUCUCUGACAGAUUUAUUAGCUUGCUGUAUCUGAGCACAUGAGCAAAAACAAUGCCUAAUAAGAAAACUUUCUCUCUCCUUCAAAGUCAAACUUGGGAGAAAUGAAGGGAAAUCGAGUUUUCUUUGCUUGACAGUGUUCAACAUUCUUGUAGUCAGUGUGCUCAUGAAGAUUGCAAACUUUUUUUUUUUUUUAGAGCAGCUAGGACUACAGGCGCGCACCACCACACCCAGCUAAUUUGUGUAUUUUUAGUAGAGAUGGGGUUUUAACUAUGUUGGCCAAGCUUGUCUCAAACUCCUGACCUCAAGUGAUCCAUUCGACAGCUCUUUCUUUUUUUUUUUUUUUUUUGAGACAAAGUCUCGCUCUGUCACCCAGGCUGGAGUGCAGUGGUAUGAUCUCAGCUCACUGCAACCUCCGCCUCCUGGGUUCAAGCAAUUCUCAUGCCUUAGCCUCCCGAAU
Molecule: long non-coding RNA, 10627 nt
Filed under: Homo sapiens (human)
Lineage: Eukaryota; Metazoa; Chordata; Mammalia; Primates; Hominidae
Description: HSALNT0091303
Source: RNAcentral